Molecule: transfer RNA, 67 nt
Filed under: Tanyptera hebeiensis
Lineage: Eukaryota; Metazoa; Arthropoda; Insecta; Diptera; Tipulidae
Description: tRNA-Tyr
Rfam family: tRNA
About the family: Transfer RNA (tRNA) molecules are approximately 80 nucleotides in length. Their secondary structure includes four short double-helical elements and three loops (D, anti-codon, and T loops).
Source: RNAcentral
GAUUAAAUGGCUGAAGCUUAGGCAGUAGAUUGUAAAUCUAUUUAUGAAGGAUAAUCUUCUUUAAUCA